RNAcentral lists this ribosomal RNA (373 nucleotides) under uncultured organism. RNAcentral describes it as "bacterial SSU rRNA". It matches the Rfam family "Bacterial small subunit ribosomal RNA", at positions 526 to 896 of the family's 1533-position model. The record is from RNAcentral.
CGUAGGGCGCAAGCGUUGUCCGGAAUUAUUGGGCGUAAAGAGCUCGUAGGCGGCUUGUCACGUCGGAUGUGAAAGCCCGGGGCUUAACCCCGGGUCUGCAUUCGAUACGGGCAGGCUAGAGUGUGGUAGGGGAGAUCGGAAUUCCUGGUGUAGCGGUGAAAUGCGCAGAUAUCAGGAGGAACACCGGUGGCGAAGGCGGAUCUCUGGGCCAUUACUGACGCUGAGGAGCGAAAGCGUGGGGAGCGAACAGGAUUAGAUACCCUGGUAGUCCACGCCGUAAACGUUGGGAACUAGGUGUUGGCGACAUUCCACGUCGUCGGUGCCGCAGCUAACGCAUUAAAUUCCCCGCCUGGGGAGUACGGCCGCAAGGCUA